AGAAAUUAUUAUUAAAUUUCGUGCCAUAUCAAACGUGUUGGGACUUUUGCCAGAAAUCUUCAGUUGGAAAAUACGCAAUGUUAGGUUGUAGCGUUUACCAUGUUUUUCAUACAAAUGUGCAGAAUACUGAACAAAUUAAGUUGACCUAAUCUAGGAGCAGCCUUACUCAGUUUGUUGGAGAGUUAACUAAUAUAGGUAAUGUGUUAAUUUGGCAGGCAUUCCAUAGUUUUAGCCAUGUGUAUAUAUUAUGAGAGGUCGUGAUAUGAACACACCUGUUGUAUUACCACUAUCUGUAGAUAACAUUGUGGGCAUUGAUAAUUUAGAAUAUGGCUUCUGGUUUAAGUGGGCUAUAGUGCUGUGUAGUCUGGUAGGAGAUUACCACCGUUUCAGGGCCUCUGAAAUGGUGGUCAACUCCUACCAGACUACAAUCCAGAAGAUGGCUGUUUCCAAACCCACCACCAUGAGAACCUCAGACCCUACAUUGCUAUUAUAAUUCUCUGAUGAUGUUUAUUUUCACUGCAACAUAUGUUAAUUUAAGCACAAAAUGAAUAACUUUACAAAAUUAUCCCUAAAGAAAUAUAAUCAAGUCCAAACAUACAAGCUUUUGGCAACCAUAAAUGAACUAAAAAAAGUAUUUUAAAAAAGACUACACAAGUAAUGAUGGUUGUUAACAAAUCUCUGUACAUUUGUAACAAGAAUUAAUAUGUUCAUAAAGAUAGCCAGAAGUAAUUGAGAUCAAAGAUUGUCAGGGCAGUGAAGAUGUCACUUGCGGUCUUGUAGGUGUUUACCACUGUUGCAAAAGAACAAACUGCCUUCCACUUCAACCCUGAUUAGUAACCAAUGAGUUAUUUGUAUACAGAUAUAUGAUUUUAUAAACGUGUGUAUAUUUGGUGUUGCUGCCUUUUAAUUGUAGUUUUUCAUUCUAGUCUCCUGCCAGUUCUUUGAAUUCCAUGGAUUUAACCACAUCAGCUCUUCAAUUUAUUUUCAUAUGUCCAUCCUUUUUUCCACUUCACUUGUUUCCACUCCAACAUCCUUUUUGGCUAUCAGUCAUCCUGCAUUUGUAUGUGUGUCCAUAUCAUGCUACUUGCCUUUCUUCAGAGUGAGGAAAAACAAUCAAUAGUUUUCAUUUUUAUUUUUAAAUGUCUUGAUUUUGUAAGACACUUGUAGUUCAAGACAAGGGUAGAAGGAAAUAGGUUGGCCUUGCCUACACCCUUUGCAAAAGCAGAAUGAAACGCAGUCCCUUUCCUGAAGAACCAGGCACUAGAAAGACUGUCUAACAGUCAAACAAGGAGGGGGUAUAAAAUGGAUCUAGUACAUGUCUUAAGACUCAAAAAUGAUCUACUCGAAGUUAACAAACAGAAUUUAUAGUGAAGUAAUGAAAUGUUUCCAUUUCCAUAGUAUUUUCUUGUUAUGUGCUGCUUAUAGUUUAGUUUAGUUCCUGUAACUCAACUAAACUAUACUACAGACUACGUUGCCUAAUAACAGUUUUUUUUUUCCUCCUGCUGACUGCCGGUUACUGGGUUGUGAGUGAUUAUGAGUGCGGGAAAGAAAUAAUUUGUGUUGAAGAGAGAUGCCAAUUGUACAAGAUGCUAACAUAUUGUGACAAAGAAACAAACAGAAAUUUAAUUUAUAUAAAAAUUAAUCAUAAAAUAAAGGUCUGUGAUGCUGACACAUGACAAGGACUUGGUUUCAUCACCAUCUGCUGUAACAGCGAGCGACUACUGACACACAGCUGUAUGAAGCAGGUCCAUAUGAAGAGGAUCCUUCCAUCCUUUUCUCCGACUGGGACCUGUUCAUAUACGUUCUU
Zootermopsis nevadensis is the source of this 1807-nucleotide non-coding RNA. The record is from RefSeq and is a predicted model, not a curated record. NCBI's taxonomy places the organism in Eukaryota, Metazoa, Arthropoda, Insecta, Blattodea, Termopsidae.